This 1365-nucleotide long non-coding RNA is filed under the name Phaseolus vulgaris (common bean). Its description in RNAcentral is "long non-coding RNA (PVUL_LNC004747)". The record is from RNAcentral. Lineage: Eukaryota; Viridiplantae; Streptophyta; Magnoliopsida; Fabales; Fabaceae.
ACAGAUGAUCCUCCAGGAUUUUUUUCUUUCUUUAUAUACAAUAACUCAUUACAUACCACUUCAUCUUAUCAUGAUCUGUUCCUAUGAUUAGCUCAGAUUAAGUUUGAUAUUAACAAGGAUUACAUGUUUUAUGAAUACAUCAACACAUUGUGGUACAUCUCAAUUAAUAGCAACUAGCAAGAAUUCAACAACCAUAGAGUACUGUCAUCUAAUUAUAGAUCACCGCACAAUAAACAAUUGUUAACUUCAAUUGAGGAAAAACAUAUUGUUCAGAUAGGAUCAGAGUUGAUCAAAACCAUAAGGAAAUUUUAUCUUUCUGUCUCUCUCUCUUCCUGGUAUAUAUGCAGGCCCACAAAAAACUAUGGGGAUAAGAGGAUAGAGUAGGGACAAGAGAACAGAGCUCCCUGUGCAAGAGCCUCAUCAUUCAAAAAUAUAUGGACACAGCAACAACACAGUGAAAAAUCACUCUCCUAGAUGACCCUUAAGAUAAGGAGAUGUUUUUGUUUCUUUCCUUAGAAUUCAUUUGGUCCUUAUGUUUUCAUAGUUUUUAUUAUCGUACAUCAGCAUUGCAAUUUUAAGAGUUCAAUGAAUAUCAGUUUGUUCCUUGAUACAUAUUAUUUUUGGAAGUUGAAGUGAAUGUGCUCUUAACUUGUCACAAUCCCAACAGAAAGUAGCAAAGAGACAUCAUUUCUUCUAAAUACAUGGAGGUCACAUGAUUUUUGAGUUAGCCCAAACUCGUUGUACGGCCAAUUAUUUUUCCAACUUGUAUAUUUAAUGUGAACUCCCUUCAUCCAUUAGAAUUCAAAGUUUGCUUUACUCAUCUUCUUUUGAAGGACUGAACCACAAAUGAACAUAAUGAUAAAUUAUCAAAUACUCAUUUUUCUCUUUUCUUUUUCACAUUCCAAUCACUAUUUUCGGAUAAGAUUAAUCCUGUUUCACUAUUUGCUAAUUUUUCAUUGGAAGUAGUUCUUCAAAUAGAUCACUUGAAGAGAUUAAUGUUUAUUUUCUGAAUAUAAAUAAUUAAGGAUAGCAAAGAAGUAAUUGUGCUUUGCAAAUCAUACCAUAGAUAAUGUUGUGAACAAAAUUGCAAUGGGCCAGUUGAUGAGUGGGAUUCCAUCAGAACAUCGAAAGCAAUAGCUGGCAAUGCCAUGUGAAUAAGGUGGGGACACUUACACAUGCAUACCAAAUCCCAUCUCUUUCUUCUUCAUUAUUCUUCUUCACUUCUUACUUCACUUUUUUACAAAAUUCUUACAUAUAACAUUAUAUACACAAGUCACAAUUCCAUUCAAUGUUGUUUUCUUUUAAUUAUUACCCUGCAACCUUCUACUUGCUUCUCUGUUCAAUCUUGAAUAGAAGAGCAUGCAU